Molecule: RNA transcript, 6153 nt
Organism: Girardinichthys multiradiatus
Lineage: Eukaryota; Metazoa; Chordata; Actinopteri; Cyprinodontiformes; Goodeidae
Gene name: leucine-rich repeat-containing protein 4B-like
Exons: 5
Source: RefSeq, a predicted model, not a curated record
AAGAGAGAAGGAGGGAGAGAGAGAGGACAGCGUCGGCGGCUCUGCAGUGGAAUACGCGCUUAUUUGAGGAAGGCUUGGAGCGAGAUUGCGUUUUUAGGACUCUAUGAACGGGAUUUUUGUAAAAAUGUAACUCCUGGGCUCUUCUCACUUCACAAAACGCCUCACUCAAAUCUCCUGACAGCCCAAGAAAAAAAGAGAAUAACAUCUGUUUAUCUGCAAACUUCUAUGUUCAAGAAACAAGAGGAGAAAACAGAGACUGACAGAGGACAAAUGAGAUCUCAGAGGAUGUGGAAUUAGAGGAAACAAAUUGAUACUGGAGGACCGAAGGGGAAAUAAACCACAAAUCCACCAGUGUGGAGUCACCUCACCUGUAUCUUCGGAUUAAAGAGCAGGGUCAUGUCCCAGUUGCCAUGCGCAACGCCACGUUGACCUGCCUUCCCGGCCCUUCCCCCUUCCUCUUUUUAUUGGUCCAUCUGCUCCUGCGGCUCCUUCUCAUCCUCCACGGGCCGGAGUUAGCGGGAGCCUCCUCCACCUGCCCUUCCCUCUGCACGUGCUCCAACCAGGCCAGCCGAGUCAUCUGCACCAGGCAGAACCUGGAUCAGGUGCCUGAAAGCAUAUCAGUCAACACACGAUACCUCAACCUGCAGGAAAAUUCGAUACAGGUCAUCAGAUCUGACACCUUCAAGCAGCUGAGACACCUUGAAAUCCUCCAGCUUUCCAAGAAUCAGAUACGACAGAUUGAAAUCGGAGCAUUCAAUGGCCUCCCCAACCUCAACACGCUGGAGCUCUUUGACAACCGGCUCACGUUGGUGCCAACACAGGCCUUUGAUUACCUCAGCAAGCUACGAGAGCUGUGGCUGCGCAACAACCCCAUUGAGACCCUCCCGAGUUAUGCCUUCAACCGUGUGCCCUCCCUGCGUCGCUUGGACCUGGGGGAGCUCAAAAAGUUGGAAUACAUCUCUGAUGCAGCCUUUGUUGGCCUCGUCAAUCUACGGUACCUGAAUCUGGGUAUGUGUGGGCUCAAAGACAUUCCCAAACUGACUCCCCUUCUGCGCUUGGAAGAACUGGAGUUGUCAGGGAACCGUUUGGAGAUUAUUCGUCCUGGAUCCUUCCAAGGACUGGUGUCUCUUCGGAAGCUGUGGCUAAUGCACUCACAGGUUUCUGUCAUUGAGCGCAAUGCUUUUGAUGACCUAAAAAGCCUGGAGGAGCUCAAUCUGUCCCAUAAUUCCCUGCAUUCCCUGCCUCAUGAUCUUUUCACACCCCUUCACCAGCUGGAGAGGGUGCACCUCAAUCAUAAUCCUUGGGUCUGCAACUGUGAUGUACUUUGGCUUAGUUGGUGGUUGAAGGAAACGGUACCCAGCAACACCACCUGCUGUGCCCGCUGCCAUGCUCCUCCAGUCCUGAAGGGCAAGUACAUCGGAGAACUUGACCAGAGUCAUUUCACCUGCUUUGCUCCUGUCAUUGUGGAGCCUCCUACUGACCUCAACGUCACUGAAGGGAUGGCUGCUGAGCUGAAGUGUCGCACAAGUACUUCUACAACCUCCGUUAACUGGAUUACGCCCAACGGCACGCUAAUGACCCAUGGGUCUUACCGGGUGCGGAUAUCUGUUCUGCAUGAUGGCACACUGAACUUCACAAAUGUCACCUUGAGAGAUACAGGCCAGUACACCUGCAUGGUUACUAAUGCUGCUGGAAACACCACUGCUACUGCUGUCCUCAAUGUUACUGCUGCUGAUGCCAGUGUCAACUACACCUUUUUUACAACUGUUACUGUGGAAACCGAUAAUGGAGGAGCUAAUGAUUAUGCACAGGUUGCCAUUGAUGAGACCACCAUUCCCAUUCCGUCUGACCUGUUGUCAGAAGUAGUUCCUACCACCGAAUCCCCUCGGACUCUUGGCUGUUCAUCCUCCUCUGCACUAGCAACCCUACCUACUUUCACUGUGCCGUUCACGGAGCCAGGCUUCUCUGGCCUGGAUGACGUGAUGAAGACCACCAAGAUCAUCAUUGGCUGCUUCGUAGCUAUCACCUUUAUGGCAGCAGUGAUGCUGGUGGUGUUCUACAAGCUGAGGAAGCAGCAUCAGCUGCACAAACAUCAUGGUCCUGCACGUGCCAUUGAGAUCAUCAAUGUGGAGGAUGAACUAGGGCCCGGGGCCAGUGGGCGGGGCAGUGGAAUAUCCGGAGGUUCCACUGUAACACAAAGCGCAGGAAGUGGAAUGGGAGGGGGCCAGAGUCUCAGGUUGCACCAUCCAGAGAUUGUGAACCUACCCAACCUGGCUCGAUCAGAGCACCUCAACCACUACUACAAAACACAUCACUUCAACAGCAACAUGAUGGGCCUGGGAAUGGGCACAGGGUCAGGUGUGGGCCUCAACAACAACAACCCCUCGCCGUGCUCUCAGUCACAGAGCAUAUCCUGCUCCCAGGUUCCACCCAGCACUGGUGGAGGGAUGUCCACUGGUGGCACUCUGCCCUCCACCGUAGGCUUGCCUCAAUUGGGUCUACACAGUUCUCUGAAAGGCCUGAUGGGAAAAGGCCAGAACGAGCCACUACUUUUUAAGAGUGGCUCAAAGGAAAAUGUGCAAGAGACUCAAAUCUAAAAAAAGGUAGACGUCUGAAGAAAGACAGAGUCGAUGCUAAAGAGAAUGAGCAAGUGACUAUUUGAAAGUGAUUGUAGCCCAAUGUCCUUAUGGACAAAUUUCAGAAAGGAUAUACAUAACCUUUAUUUUGUGGUGGCCCUUUGCUACCAGAUAGUAAGACAAAAGGAGACAGUAGACCAAUCCCACCAACAGCAUUCGCACAGUCCCAGAUGUCAGAAUUACUCAUUGUGUGCAGCUUGAUAUGGUCUUUGCCAAAGCUCAAGAUUAAGCCUUUUCUCUCAGCGGACAGAGAUGAACAAUGCACACGUGCAGUGAACCCUUCAAGGAUGUAUACAGAUUGCUUCAUAUAUUUCCAGAUGCAUUCAGUGUAUAUAUUUGGAGGGAGACAUAAUAUUGGCCAUUGAACAUGUUGUCAGAUUAGUGUUUGGCAAAGGCAGAGAAUAACAAACAAUGAUUUGUGUGAGCGAAGUGGAGCUUUCCCAGGUUUUCAGGAAAACACGGAUGAGGCGAAAUAAGAGCAGAGCAGCCAGACUGAUUGGAAUAUCGGAACAACAAAAAGUGAUUUUGCUCCUCUCUUUAUCAGUUUUUUUUAUUUUACACUUUACUGGUUACUGUCUUCUUUGGAAGAGUGGAAAUAUCGUGAAGAAAUAAAGGACAAGAAUUAGAGAGAUAUAUAAAAAGAACUGAAGACGCAUAUUAUAUAUACCGUAAAUAUAUUUUCAUUCAAAUAAAUAAUUAUGAAGCUAAUGAGUGACCACUACGACAACUGAAGAAUAUAUAUAUAUAUAUAUAUAUAUAUCUAUAUAUAUAUAUAUAUAUAUAUAUAUAUAUAUAUAUAUAUAAACAAUUUUGAAAACUAGCCCAAGUCCUGUCACAACUUUUCCGAACUUCCGAAAAGAAAGGCGACUGACUGCUCUUCUUCUGGAUACACGUGAAAGAGCGGAGCUACAAAGCAAACCUGACAAAGUGAUGAAAAAGAAAUUAUUUUGGUCUUGAAUUUUUUUGUAGCCACAACUGUUUUCCCCAGAAACAGGGUCCUUUGAGAUGGGAGAUCUUUUACUCUCUGCUGCAAAACCAUGAAACACAACAGGAGCUUUUAAUGUUUUAUUCAUAUAUAGUGGCACUCUGGUAUUAGUAAUAAUCAUGACAGUAAUAAUGAUAACAAAUUUAGCUAUAUUUGUCAUCCAUGCAUUACUCUGCAUCUAAAAUGGUGUUUCAGAUAAUAAAGAAAAAAUCCUAGGACAUUGAAUAACAAAUAAUUUCAGAUCUUAAAGAUAUGAAAUGACAUUAAUGUUAUUAUGCUAUCAUUAUUACUGUUAUUGUUACUGCUAGUGCCCACAAAUAACUGAGAAGUGACUUUUUUCAUUUGUACAUGACGCUGAUUUCAUUGGGCAGAUUCAACAUGCCACAAAAUGACCUCUGUAAGCGUCAACAGGAAAUGACCUGGCCCAUAAAACGGCUUCACCCUCAUUGACUCCAUCUGAUGGGACCCUCAUGCUAUCUGACAUUAAGGAGGAAGACUGCACCUUUUUGCAGAGGAUUAUUUCCCAACUGUAUCUCAGUGUAAGGAGUGGAUUUGAUGGCAGCAGGGGGCAAAAAUGGACGAACCCUUUUUUAAAAGGGUUGGCUGCAGUGAUGGUGUAGGGACCCUCAUCUCCUCUCUCCGCCCCCUCGAUCACAAAGCUACUCACGGUCUUCCUCGACUCCACACGGACCCGUCCCUCGGCCUCAGAGACCACCUGUCCCAGAGACACAGCACACGACGGGGGCCGGCUCUCCUGUGACCUCAACGUCGAAGCGGAGCUUGUUUCCAGCCACCACGGUGAUGUUCUUAUUGCCCCUGCCACCUGCGUCCAGGUGGAUUUUGGGAGGAUCUUUCAUGUGAUCAUCCAAAGAAAAGACAUGAAUGAAAAGAUUAUUUGGAUGAUAGAGACAAUGAUUACUUCGAGGAGUCUUAUUAGGCAACCUUUAAUCAUUUAUGUUGAAGUUUAUUGUUGCUGCAAAGAUAUAUAGUUUUCUUCAAAAAACAUUAUGCAAGGAGAAAAUCAUAAAUUAGACUUUAAAUUUUUAAUUUCAAUAUUUUGUUAGACAGUUUCCAAGGGUCUCAUUACAUCAGUAUACAUACACAUUUAGUAAAUACUUGUCUACAUAACCACCACCCAUUCACCAUUAUCCACACUUACUGGGACUGACCACAUGUGGUAAAAUAAACGCAACUGAAGCUCUUAGCCACUGUUCAAAAUGGAAAAGACAGGAAAACAUGCCAUUUAAGGAGGCCGUGUGUGUUGAUCUUUAAAAGUCAAGAAUGGCUACAACUAACCUAACGUUCCCCACGUCUACAGUCACUCCAUUAAUUAAAGUUGAGAUAAACAAGGUCUUAAGUUUACCCUGAUAGAUAGUAAGAAGGAUGGUAAUAGAGGUAUAAAAAAAUCUCCAAAUCUAAAUCCCAACCAGUUGUUUGGGAAACAAGCCAGGAAAGCCUUUUCCAUCCUACCAUCACAAACACAAAUGUGUGGAGAUCUCUAAACGCUGCUAGGACUUUAACUGGAACUGUGUGCUUUAGCCAGAUGAUAUUAAGAUUUAACUUUCUGGCAACAAACACUCCAUGUGGAUCCGGUGGAGGAUCUGUGAUGCUGUGGACCUGUGUUCUUCAAGGCACCAUAAACUCCUUAAAAUUUCAGAACAUUUUGAAUACGCAUCCAGAUCGACCCAGAAAUAGUUCCCAGAAUACAAACCUAACCUUCUUCCAUGGCCAUCUUAAUCAUCAUACCUUCAGAAACAAGUGAGCUAAAGAGAGGGGAGCAUGAAAGAAGAACCAGAACUCUGGAGACUAUAGAGAAAUGGCCAAAGAUCCCUCUCUGUCUGCUCUAAUCCUGUAAAAUGUUAUGGAGUAGGAAAAAUCUGUUUUAUCAACAGCAGGAAUGCCAAUGAUUGCACUGGGUUCUGUAUUUUUAUUAUGUAGAACGAGAUACAGUAAAUUCUGGUUCUGAAUACGGCUUGUUUUAAGAAAUAAAGAUUCAUUUGCUAAAGCUUUUUGUACUCGACAAACGCAGGCAGUAUACAACUAUUGCUCAAUGAACAUUCAUCAUGGUGGCAGUCAGCCGCUAGUAUUCCGGCGUCCUGAUAACAUUAAGAUUGAAAUUAAGGACGCAGUUACAACUUACUCAUUAUUUCUCAGAUAAAAGCAAUAAAUAAAUGGCAAACAAUUCCCAAAAUUGUUGCUGCAAGUUUUAUACUAAAAUGUAGAGUCAAGGUAUCCUAAGCUAAUGUAAGCUAAUAAGUUGUUUAAUGAUAUACAUAGUUAACGUUUUUAUGAUAUAAUUAUUAUAUUUCUUUUGGUAGGCUAUGCCACCUGCUGGGGGAAACAGAUAACUGCAUUUGGCUAAAAUACAGAAAUUGCAGUUUGUUCUUUUUCGGCGCACUUCAGCAUGACGCGUCCAGUGUGUGCUUAGGUUUUUCCCUAUACCUUUUAAAACAACUUUAAAAAAGGAAAAUCUGUCUUUAAUAAACAGUUAAUUGCCAUUUUCUUGCAUGUUAGUUUUUCUAAACUGUUUAA